Long non-coding RNA from Anopheles stephensi (Asian malaria mosquito), 1210 nucleotides. RefSeq lists it as uncharacterized. NCBI's taxonomy places the organism in Eukaryota, Metazoa, Arthropoda, Insecta, Diptera, Culicidae. The record is from RefSeq and is a predicted model, not a curated record. The transcript has 2 exons.
AACCGGAACUGCUAAGCCUUCGGCAGCUGCUGCUCUGGCAGAGGAAGAAAUUUCAGUUCGCUGAUCACGGUGCUGGGCCGCGUUACAUUUUCCUCAACGAAAAGGGCCACUGAGGGAGGGGUGCCACCUCUCUAGUCCCGUUGGGGAAAGCGUUUUGUUUCUUCAAUCCAAUGUUGUGUGCCGGGCCGAGGACUUUUUUUACCAUCAACUACUCUGUAACUGUCGAGCAACUCAACUUGCACACACACAAAUUUCCCAUACACGUGUUUGCGAUAUGCACAUACCUUGCCAUAGUUCACUGUUUCACUCCAAAUCUGUUCAUCUUUCGUACACUUUUUCACAUUACACAUUUUACAACGUCACACAUUUGCAUCGUUCAAAUCAGCCUCAGCCCACUAAAACCAGCUUCUACUAACAGCCUUACGUGUCCCCGGACACCAGUUUUCCACACAAUCGUUGCCAUUGUGUUUUGUGUCGUAAGAUUUCUUUACGUGGUGUUUUUUUAUAACAAAAUAUAUUAAGUUGAGCUAACGUUUAUGUUUUUAGAAGCGCGUUUUUCAUCGUAUUUUGUUGUGUGAUGUUUUGAUUGCUUUAUCAUCUUGGUUUUGUUGUGUGUAGCUGUGUGUUGCUUACGUUUUGUUAGUUUUAGUUAUAUCUAGUUGUUUUAAGUUUGGUUUAGUUUUAAAGCUUUUGUACAGCACUUUUACGUUAAGAUUAUGCUUCGUUAGGCUUACUUUACUUUACUUAGAAAUUAUGUGCUUUUUUCACGAUUUUUUUUUAAACUUUUCCGUCACGUCAAUUUUAAUUUUCCUUGUGAUUUUUUUUCUUCGAUUUAAUGAAAUACUUUUUUGUUGCUGCUGUGAGCUUUCUUCUUACCUUCUUACGUUCGCUUCGGCUCGUACACAAAAUUGGAACACAAAAAGAGAAACAAAUAUGUUGUUACGCCGAGCGGAUGCGCUCGACCGCGAAACCCGAACAUGAAAUUUCAUCCAUUCUUGCCAUCGUGUGUUACGGCUAAGUAACAUCACACCCUCUAGCGGCAAACUUUCGCACCACAGCACAGGUUUCGUUCGCAUUCGAUAGUGAACGUAAGAGAUGUAAAGCAAAGGGACGAGUGGACAAACAAAACAACGAGCAAAUCACAUACUUGCACUUAUCUGUUUCGUUUGGUCCUUCAAUUGGGAAAGCACAUAAUUUUUCAAAAAAAAAA